This 308-nucleotide ribosomal RNA is filed under the name uncultured bacterium. Its description in RNAcentral is "bacterial SSU rRNA". It matches the Rfam family "Bacterial small subunit ribosomal RNA", at positions 28 to 334 of the family's 1533-position model. The record is from RNAcentral.
GACGAACGCUGGAGGCGCGCCUAACACAUGCAAGUCGAACGGACGAGGAGGAGCUUGCUCCUCUGAGUUAGUGGCGGACGGGUGAGUAACACGUGAGCAAUCUGCCCUUAGGAGGGAAUAACGUCUGGAAACGGACGCUAAUACCGCAUAAAGCAGCGAAACGGCAUCGUUUUGCUGCCAAAGAUUUAUCGCCUAAGGAUGAGCUCGCGUCUGAUUAGAUAGUUGGCGGGGUAACGGCCCACCAAGUCGACGAUCAGUAGCCGGACUGAGAGGUUGAACGGCCACAUUGGGACUGAGACACGGCCCAG